CCGCGUGAGUGAUGAAGGUUUUCGGAUCGUAAAGCUCUGUUGUUAGGGAAGAACAAGUGCGAGAGUAACUGCUCGCACCUUGACCGUACCUAACCCAGAAAGCCACGGCUAACUACGUGCCAGCAGCCGCGGUAAUACGUAGGUGGCAAGCGUUGUCCGGAAUUAUUGGGCGUAAAGGGCUCGCAGGCGGUUUCUUAAGUCUGAUGUGAAAGCCCCCGGCUCAACCGGGGAGGGUCAUUGGAAACUGGGAAACUUGAGUGCAGAAGAGGAGAGUGGAAUUCCACGUGUAGCGGUGAAAUGCGUAGAGAUGUGGAGGAACACCAGUGGCGAAGGCGACUCUCUGGUCUGUAACUGACGCUGAGGAGCGAAAGCGUGGGGAGCGAACAGGAUUAGAUACCCUGGUAGUCCACGCCGUAAACGAUGAGUGCUAAGUGUUAGGGGGUUUCCGCCCCUUAGUGCUGCAGCUAACGCAUUAAGCACUCCGCCUGGGGAGUACGGUCGCAAGACUGAAACUCAAAGGAAUUGACGGGGGCCCGCACAAGCGGUGGAGCAUGUGGUUUAAUUCGAAGCAACGCGAAGAACCCUUACCAGGUCUUGACAUCCUCUGACAACCCUAGAGAUAGGGCUUUCCCUUCGGGGACAGAGUGACAGGUGGUGCAUGAUUGUCGUCAGCUCGUGUCGUGGAGAUGCUGGGUUAAGUCCCGCAACGAGCGCACCC
RNAcentral lists this ribosomal RNA (718 nucleotides) under Sutcliffiella zhanjiangensis. Its description in RNAcentral is "bacterial SSU rRNA". It matches the Rfam family "Bacterial small subunit ribosomal RNA", at positions 397 to 1103 of the family's 1533-position model. Lineage: Bacteria; Bacillati; Bacillota; Bacilli; Caryophanales; Bacillaceae. The record is from RNAcentral.